GGGAUAGAAUUCCAGGAGUAGCGGUGAAAUGCGUAGAUAUCUGGAGGAAUACCAAAGGCGAAGGCAGUCCCCUGGUCCGAUACUGACACUGAGGUACGAAAGCGUGGGGAGCAAACAGGAUUAGAUACCCUGGUAGUCCACGCCCUAAACGAUGUCGAUUAGCCAUUGGAAGGACCCCUUUUCCUUUCAGUGACGUAGCUAACGCGUUAAAUCGACCGCCUGGGAAGUACGACCGCAAGGUUAAAACUCAAAGGAAUUGACGGGGACCUGAACAAGCGGUGAAUGAUGUGGAUUAAUUCGAUGCUACGCGAAGAACCUUACCUACCUUUGACAUGGCCAAAGUUCUACCGAGAGGCGGAAGUACUCGUAAGAGGAUUGGCGCACAGGUGCUGCAUGGUUGUCGUCAGUUCGUGUCGUGAGAUGUUGGGUUCAGUCCCGCAACGAACGCAACCCUUAUCUUUAAUUGCUCCUAUUUUAACAGGCACUUUAAAGAAACUGCCAAUGAUAAGUUGGAGGAAGGUGGGGAUCACGUCAAGUCCGCAUGGCCUUUAUAGGUAGGGCUUCACACGUCAUACAAUGGUUAGAACAAAGAGCUGCAAAUUCGUAAGAAGGAGCCAAUCUCACAAACCUAACCUCAGUUCGAAUUGCGGUCUGCAACACGAGCGCAUGAAGCCGGAAUCGCUAGUAAUCGUGGAUCAGAAUGCCACGGUGAAUACGUUCUUAGGUCUU
Molecule: ribosomal RNA, 729 nt
Filed under: Candidatus Tremblayella phenacoccinincola
Lineage: Bacteria; Pseudomonadati; Pseudomonadota; Betaproteobacteria
Description: bacterial SSU rRNA
Rfam family: Bacterial small subunit ribosomal RNA
Source: RNAcentral